ACGGACGUUUGGCCGGGCUCGGUCGGAGGGCGGGUGCGGGUCCCCGCGUGUCACGCUCCAGCACGAGAGGACAAGGAGGGCAGGAGUGAUCACUGACUCGGUGCCUUGGACGGCGGAGCUCCUGUGUUGUUCCUUACGCGUGACGUUUUUUCAUCUCAAGGUGAUCCCGUAAAGUGGAUACUGUUACUAGCCCUAUUUUACAAUCUGCCCAAGAAGGGGUGAGGCCUGGAAGUGAGGCGCGCAGAGAUGGGACGUACAACACCAAGUCUGGAGAGGGCGCCUCCAGGUGCCUUCGGGUGCUGAAAACAUUGCUAUCAUAGUUGGAACUGAAUUUAUUGAACCAUAAUGAGGGAUUCCUGGCACCCGGCACUAAUACGAAGUGUGUUUUUGUCGCUGUCUGAAGAUGCUUCUUUGCAGGGCUUGCUGCCUCUUGAACCAUGAACUUUCUCUCAAAAGCCAUCUGGUUUCUCGUCUCGAAAACAUCCCACGACAGCUCUGAGUGCUACAAACCAGGCUGGGUCAUCUGCUGCUGCUGGCUUCCAGAUAUUGCUCCAAACGUUUCUGCAAGGCUGGUGACGUCCCAAGACACUGAGACUUUAGAUGCCCACUGCCCAAUAUUUGGUAGUGCUCACAAAACAUGUCGAUGGAGAAAAAAGUAUGACUGCAACACGGGGCAGCAAUAGGUAACAGGGAAGACCUGCGCGCACACUAGGUUUACGCCCCGCUUCAUUUGAGGCCCUUGGAGGAAGCUGGAAAAGCAUGUAUGUAGUUCAGUAAUCUCCAACUGGUCUUUCUGUGCAUGAACUCAAGAGCUGGAACUGUAUUACAAAGCAAGGAGCUGGUGCUCAGCAUUCAGCAGGGAGUUCUCAGGGGCCUACGUCCAGGAUUUUAGAUGAUGUUCACCUUUUCAUGAGUGAACUUACCAAGAGUAACUUAAAUCACAGCUUUAGGUAUUCUAACAACAGCUUGUUACAUCCUUGGGCACAGUUACAUGAGGAUGCACCUACAUAUCCAUCAGCAGGUGCGGGGGGAUAGCUCCAACAAAUACCUUUGACCUUGAAGAGACAAACCUGACCACUGUAGUGUGGCCUCAGGCUCUAAAUGCAUGCCUCAGUGCAGCCAGACUUGCUCAACGCCCAGGCAAGGCCACAGAUGGUACCCAGUGCUUCUGUGCGGCUGAAGAAUAUAGUGUAGAGAUCCUGAUGUUUGUUAAUUGCUGCUCUUCCUUCUUUUUUCCUUUCUUUUUAAGAUCUUCUCAUGCAGCAAAGUUCCUGUCUACCAACAUGAGUUGCAGUCUAAAGCCACAGUGAAUUUUGUGACAGUAACAUUAACAAUCCAAUGGAAUAGAAACAUUCUAGUCUUCCUAUAAACGUACUGAACAUGGAGAACAGAAAUGAUUCUAGGCAUGACUUUGGUUUUUUUAAUUCUUCUUGAGGGAGAUAUAAAGAGCACAGCAUCUUUGAAUUCUUGAGGCACUGUCACAAUACGCCAUGUGUUAUGGAAAAGCUGACACACAAAUAUGGGUCAUUAUUACUCUCCUUCUAAGAACUGCAAGAGAGAGAGUGAGAGAGAGAGAGAGAGAGAGAGAGAGAGAAGCUGCAGCAAUCCAGACCAGACGAUAUGCUAACACCAGACAGAAGAAGAAACGAUCAUAUACACACUCACUAUACACUGGACUCCUUACUCUGUACGUACCCUCUGUUCUUUGGUCCAGGUCCCUCAUGAGCUGGAAGUUUCUCUGCAGUUCAAAUGGGAGGUUUUCAAUACCUGGGGAGAAGAGGAGAAAUUGAGCCUCCCUGGACGUCCUAGGCCCUACCGCUGCUUUUAAAGAACAGGUCCAAAACAACACUCGGUUUUCCCUCCUUCAAACCGCUGGAUUAUCUGUUACAGCACUCAUCGUUCUGCUCUCAGGAGAGGUCACGUCCGCCUCUUUCCACAACUAACCCCUCCAUCUCUACACAGCUUUCCCACCCUUCCUCCCUUCAGUGACUUUACAAAUCAGCCUUUCCCUUUCCUUUCUUUCAAUCUCUGUCUCCAAGCUCCUUGCCCUCAACUUACAAAUACCCUCCUGGCAUCCUCCACCACUCAUCACACACACACUUCCAACCUGCUCUCCAUACAGUAGCCAGAAUUGUUCUUUAAAAAAUGCAGAUCUGGGCUUCCCUGGUGGCGCAGUGGUUGGGGGUCCGCCUGCCGAUGCAGGGGACACGGGUUCGUGCCCCGGUCCGGGAAGAUCCCACAUGCCGCGGAGCAGCUGGGCCCAUGAGCCAUGGCCGCUGAGCCUGCGCGUCCGGAGCCUGUGCUCCGCAACGGGAGAGGCCACAACGGUGAGAGGCCCGCGUACCGCAAAAAAAAAAAAAAAAAGCAGAUCUGCUCAAGUCACUGUCCUGUUUAUAACCCUCGAGUAACCUCCUACUGCAAUAUUCCUAUUGCUAUUCUGCACUUUCUGGCCCUUGCUUCCCUCACACCAGCCCUAACUCACAUCAGUCCCUGUCUGUGCUCUCUCUCUGCUGUAUCAUACUGGCCUCCACUGAGUGCCUUGAACUUGCCAGUGCUCUUCAUGACACUUGGCUUUUCACACGCUACUCUCUCUGCCCAGAAUGCCCUGCCCAGUCUUCUUCAUCCCACCUCCACCAUACCUCUUGGCCUUCAAAUUCCUGUUCAUUCUUCAAAGUUCAGCUCAACCCUGACUGCCCCAAACUCCAACAAGUGCCCUGGAUUAUGCUGUCAUGCUAUUUUUUUUUUUAAAUACGUAUUUCGCUGCGUGGGGUCUUAGUUGCAGUACACGGGAUCUUUGUUGCUGCGUGCGGGACCUUUUAGUUGUGGCAUGUGGGAUCUUGUAUUUGCAGCGUGUGGGAUCUAGCUCCCUCCCUGACCACGGAUCGAACCCAGGCCCCCUGCAUUGGGAGUGCGGAGUCUUAACCACUGGACCACCAGGGAAGUCCCUGUCGUGGUAUUCUGUGUCUACCCUUUUGGGCUCUUAUCCAAUGUACUUACAUAAGUAAUUGUGUAAUUAGUUAUUUGGUAUGUCUCCCCAGCUCUCCAGAAGGGUUAGAUGCAUCUGUCUUCUUCCCUAUUUCUCUAGAGUUUAGAACUAUGAUGUGCAUACAGAGGAUCCUCAAUAAAUACUUGAAUAAGUGCAUGAAUACUUAAGUCUCUCUCAUAAAAGAAAAAUCUCUUCCCAUGACUCCACUUCCAACUUUUAAAAUGCCUCCACUGCUUUAACCUAUAAACUCAGGUUCGCCACCACCAGUUUACUGAGACUAAGCCAUCAGUGACUUACCAAGUCAAAUGAUGGGUUACUAGUCUCAUCCUAAAAAAAUUACCUUCGCAGGAUCUGGCACCAUCUUCUCGUCUUCGAAUAACUUUCUUCCUCUUAAGAUUCCAAAUCUCAUCACAUACUUUCUAGCAAUUCCGUCACUGACAUUUCCUUAGCCUGUCCCUUAAAUGUUAAUAUUUUCUUGAGCUUACACUUAAUUUAAUCCUCUAAUUUUCUCACUUGCUUUCUCUGAACGAUCUCCAUCUUAUUUACUCUUACAGAUACAAUUACCAUUCCUAUGCUUAAAUCUAAGUUGAAUAAAUAUGUUACUGUUACUCCUGAAUUUCCUAUCUUGUUGAUGAUUUACUGUCUACCUCACUUCCCAAACAGGAAAUAGAGAAGUCACCUUAGAUUCCUCCUUCUCUCUCAACCACUCAGUCAGUCAAUCCUGUCAUAUUUAACUCCUAAACACUUCUGUCACUCCCUGAGAUCAGGUCCUCAUCUCUGACCAGGACUGUUAUCCCUAACUGAUCUCCCUAUUACCAAUGUCAUCAUGCUCCAAUUUAUCAUGCAACAUUUAUUUUCCUGUAUAUAAAAAAAUCACUCUAUUUAGAAAAUCUGUUGGUUCCUCGCUAUUUAAAGUGCACGCUGGUGGACUUCCCUGGUGGUGCAGUGGUUAAGAAUCCGCCCACCCGCACUGGUUGAGAGUCCGCCUGCCGAUGCGGGGGACGCGGGUUCGGGCCCUGAUCCAGGAAGAUCGCACAUGCUGCGGAGCAACUAAGCCCGUGUGCCACAACUACUGAGCCUGCGCUCUAGAGCCCACGAGCCACAACUACUGAGCCCGCGUGCCACAACUACUGAAGCCGGCGCGCCUCGAGCCCGUGCUCCGCAACAAGAGAAACCACCGCAAUGAGAAGCCCGCACACUGCAACGAAGAGUAGCCCCCGCUCACCGCAACUAGAGAAAGCCUGCGGGCAGCAACGAAGACCCAAUGCAGCUAAAACAAACAAACAAACAAAUAAAUAUAACGUGCGAGCUUCUUAGCUUGGCUUAAACGACCUUGCACAACCUAGCCCCAGCUACCUUCUCCAGUCUCGUUUCCCAAUCUUGCACCUCGGAGUCCUAUACAUCAAACACUCUGGCCUCACUUUUCCCUGGCUUUGCCACAAACCCAUCAUAACACCUUUGCUGAUGCUUUCCCCAACCUGCAAUUCCCUCUCCCUCUCCGCACUCAACCUUCAAGUUUCUAUACAUCACAUCCUCUGUAAAGCUUUACCUACACCCCCAGGUAAUGAGCCCCUCCUUCUCCAGUGUUACCUACUGUCCUUUUAAUGUAUUUCUAUUAUUUCAUUUGUCACACUGUUUUAUAAAUAUUAGCAGAACCUGUGUUCUACUAGACUAUGAGCACUUGAGGGCAAGAGCCGGAUCUUAUUCAUUCUUGUAUAUCGCCAGUACCCGCCAUUAUGUCUGACCCAUAGCAGAACCUCAAAAAACGAAUGAAUGACUCUCAACGGUAAGGCAAAUGUAAGGGCAUAGGGUGACGGACUCUGUGAAGAGGUAGGUUACACAAAUAGCAUAAACAUAACACCAGAUUUCCAUUUGAUGGGAAUUGGAUCUUUACUCCAAGAGAAGCCUUCCGGUUCAUCAUGUGACAGUGGUCACUCGUAACCCCCCAUCCCCACGAGAAGCCGCUUCUUCGAAAGAACUGGUUGGAGGAGCCGCGAGCAGAUCAUCGCUGCUCCAAAUGGCAGUGGAUGAUAUAUUAAUACGAAAACGACCGAUUCGGAACGAUUUUAAGAAAAUGAUAUAUGCUGAGGCCAGAGACUCUGCAGACGGGGGCAGCAAAUAUCUUCCCGGCUAUGCCCACCAGCCCUUCAAGAGCCGUCCCCCAGCCCUGCCGCGCAGCCCCUCCCCCGUCUACACCCCAGAGCGAGGCCUCGACCCCGGUGCCCCGCCCCCUAUUUCUUCACACCCUCCAGUAUUUUCUCUCGCUCAACCUUUCACGACUGUCACUUUCUGACCACCGAGACUUCGGAGCCGUGAAGCUCCUCAGCCCCGAUCCCCCCGACCCGUCUGUGACCCCUGACCCCCUCCUCCAGCCUGCUCUUACUGUCCAGAUAAUGUUCCAAAUACAUCCCCGCAGCCAUCUUGAAGCAAAACAAAGCAACUUCCGCUCCGCCCCGGAAGUGACUGAACGCGAAGGGAGCCGAAGAGCUCCUACCCGGCCUGGAGCCCUUCCGCCCUCACGAGGGGAACUUUCCGCCCUCACGAGGAGAACUUCCGCCCUCACGAGACGAACUUCCGGUCUGAGUACAGGGCCCGCCGAGUUGCCUUCGCCUGGCGCAGACACUGGUCCGUGGCGGGUCGGCCGGGUGCGGGGUCGGCGGCGGUGGCCGCCGCGGCCGAGGGCGCCAUUUUGCGUCCUCGCUCAAACUUCCAUCCCCUCCAGGACGGGGACGUGCGGGCGUGAGAGCAAGGAAACCUGUCUCUUUGGGCUUUCAGUCCACAGAGAGUCCGUCUCAGCAGCUGGGGAAUGUGAAUCGGCCCCUUUGGCGGAAUGUGAAGCUGGCGACCAGAGCAGGUGCCUUCUUCCGCGUCGCUAGUUUCUUAGGAAGUUGAGGAGGCGCCUGGCGAUGCGAGGUUUAAAUCCUCCCCGUUUCUGUUCACUCGCGCGAACACCAACUCCCCAGGAUUAUGUUUUAACGUGGAAACAGUUGAUUAUUUAUAAACUCUACUUAUAAAUACAAAGAACUACUCACACAAUAAAGCUGCGGCUCUCCACACCUUUUGUCAGGGUUCCUGUCACUUGAGGACGUUCUCGCUUGUAAAGUGACAGAGUGCUUCUGGCCUUGCCCUCCUGUUUGUCUCCCUUUUUAUUCGAGUUUGGGUACGAUGUUAACUGGCACCAUAAUUCUGAAAGGAUUGGGGCACGGAGCUGUCACAACGGGGCCAGUUGGAUGCCGACUAUCACCCUGGUCCGCGACAUCACAGCGACAACUACGCUUCUCGUCCGGAUGGAAAGCCACCAAGUGCACGACAGGCCGCCACCACACCAGGGACGCAGAACUCAACGCCCAGAGCCGGAGAGUGUUAGGAAGACAGUUUUGGAGAUCACUGUCACCCCAAAUCACGCGUUCUUAAUAAGUAUUAAUGUCACAUGGCAGGUUUUGGUUUGGGGUUUUUUUUGUUUUUGUUUUUUGGACUGUGCCGCGGCUUGCGGGUCGUUCCCCGCCCAGGGAGUGAAGCCGGGUGGCGGCUGUGAGAGCCCAAGAUCCUAACCACUGGGCCACCAGGGAACGCCCACAUGGCAGAUUUUCAAUGAAACAUUUCAGCCACAUAAUUUAGCUCAAAUAUGUAAAAAAGGACAAGGUGAAACCCCAGGUUUACUACUGAGCAGGUGGUAGAUAGAGCAAUAGAAUCUAGAAGACGUCCCUCUAAUUGCACGCGGCAGACCCUUGGAUUAUCUAAUCUCCGUGCCUAUUUCCGUGUCUAGCAAAAUGCCUGGUAUCCUGCUUACUUCAUAGGGUUGUUGCUGUUGAAGUGUGAGGGUACCCUUCAAAAGAGAUGCUGGUUGUAAUACCUGUGAUGAAGGUAGGGCUCUCAAUGUCAAUUCAACAGUUGGUGAGAACAGGGGAAACGUAGUAAAUAUGCAGGAAACACACACUGCACGUUUGGUCAUAUGUGAUACAGUCGUUAGCGUCACACCACGGACUGAGACUAUCUUGGAUGCCCACACAAGAGCCCGAGCCCUACAGCUAAGAGGUGGUGUUUCAUUGCCUAUCCACACGCCACCAGCUAAUGAGCGUGGCUGCCCGGCAGUCCCACACAGGAUGGCCAUGUUGUCAGACGUGGGAGCUUUGUCACAACUUUUUCAGUGCUUAAAAGAUUUUUAAUUUUCAGAAAGGAAUCUUGGAGGUGAUCUAGCCCAAUCCCUUCAUUUAACAUUUGAAGAAGCAUUGCGGCCGACACUGGUUGAUGGGAGAGCCAGGGGGGAAGUCCAGGUUUCCCGCCCACGCUCUGCCCCUCAGCACUACAACUGUCCUGUUUCAUUCUUCAAUCCCGGUUAUGGGUUCCACCACUGGAAACCUCUGGUUUUAGGUGCCACAGGAUAUGCCAGCUGGAAUUAGCACUGAGCCCACAGAUGCUCUGGCAGCAGUGCAGGUCCUUCCAGGAGGCCGUGCUUCCAUUUCCUGGAUAGGGAGAGCUUCGAGGUAUCUUGUUAACACACGACUGAACCCUGCUCUUACACCUUAGGCGACACAGUCCUCACAGCAGGAUUUGUAUGUAGGAACCCUCAUAAACCAAGAUUUCACUUCAGAGAUUUCAAAGUUGUGCCCUUCUAUGGCUAGGGAUACACACACGGCCCCAUCACACAGCAUUCGUUCUUACCGUUCGCACACUCUACUGUAAAUCCUUAGUACUGGCCUUGAACGUCUCCCCAAAUAGCUGUUUCCCACGCUUACACUCACAUCAGUAGCUCCACUGCCUCUGAUCCUUUUACACGAAUUUAUUUCUAUACAAGGUUCUAAAAACACCCCUUGGUUUUGUACAUAAGUUUUUCUUUUUUUCCUCAUUUUAAAUUACUUUAUAACAACUGGUUUCCUGAUUUUUUUUUCCAUUUUCUGUUUUCUCUGAAAUCUGCCAUGAUUUAAAAAAAAAAAAAAAAGAAAGGAAAUAAAAA
Molecule: long non-coding RNA, 7940 nt
Organism: Orcinus orca (killer whale)
Lineage: Eukaryota; Metazoa; Chordata; Mammalia; Artiodactyla; Delphinidae
Exons: 3
Source: RefSeq, a predicted model, not a curated record